AUCCUACCAGGGAAAGAUAAUAUGCAAAUAAUUGGAUCUAUACAAGAUAUAUACAGAAUAAAUGGAAUGUAAUCUGAAAGGAGGAAGGCAGUAGCAGCCAUAAGAACCAGGAAAGGUCUCCUGCUAAAAGGUGGGAUUUGAGUUGAAACCAUAAGGAAACCAGGGAAAUAAGAGAUCAAUUUGACCAGGGCAAUGCAAGACAGCUAGUCAUUUAAACACUGUAAGUGAAGACUGAUGCCACUGCAAACCAUGUUUGAUGUUCAUAUAUGGUUUCCUGGCGUGCUGCAUUCAGACCCAUCUGUUAGGAUGGCAUGGUGCCGACAUGCAAGAAGGACUUCUCAGUGUGGGAAUUCUCUCGUCCUGUGCAGACCAUUACCAGCUUUGCAACUUGGAGCAGUAGAGGCUAAGUGACUA
Molecule: non-coding RNA, 414 nt
Organism: Phascolarctos cinereus (koala)
Lineage: Eukaryota; Metazoa; Chordata; Mammalia; Diprotodontia; Phascolarctidae
Source: RefSeq, a predicted model, not a curated record